GCGGCGGACGGGUGAGUAACACGUGGAUAACCUACCUAUAAGACUGGGAUAACUUCGGGAAACCGGAGCUAAUACCGGAUAAUAUUUUGAACCGCAUGGUUCAAAAGUGAAAGACGGUCUUGCUGUCACUUAUAGAUGGAUCCGCGCUGCAUUAGCUAGUUGGUAAGGUAACGGCUUACCAAGGCAACGAUGCAUAGCCGACCUGAGAGGGUGAUCGGCCACACUGGAACUGAGACACGGUCCAGACUCCUACGGGAGGCAGCAGUAGGGAAUCUUCCGCAAUGGGCGAAAGCCUGACGGAGCAACGCCGCGUGAGUGAUGAAGGUCUUCGGAUCGUAAAACUCUGUUAUUAGGGAAGAACAUAUGUGUAAGUAACUGUGCACAUCUUGACGGUACCUAAUCAGAAAGCCACGGCUAACUACGUGCCAGCAGCCGCGGUAAUACGUAGGUGGCAAGCGUUAUCCGGAAUUAUUGGGCGUAAAGCGCGCGUAGGCGGUUUUUUAAGUCUGAUGUGAAAGCCCACGGCUCAACCGUGGAGGGUCAUUGGAAACUGGAAAACUUGAGUGCAGAAGAGGAAAGUGGAAUUCCAUGUGUAGCGGUGAAAUGCGCAGAGAUAUGGAGGAACACCGGUGGCGAAGGCGACUUUCUGGUCUGUAACUGACGCUGAUGUGCGAAAGCGUGGGGAUCAAACAGGAUUAGAUACCCUGGUAGUCCACGCCGUAAACGAUGAGUGCUAAGUGUUAGGGGGUUUCCGCCCCUUAGUGCUGCAGCUAACGCAUUAAGCACUCCGCCUGGGGAGUACGACCGCAAGGUUG
RNAcentral lists this ribosomal RNA (815 nucleotides) under uncultured Staphylococcus sp. RNAcentral's name for it is "bacterial SSU rRNA". It matches the Rfam family "Bacterial small subunit ribosomal RNA", at positions 95 to 896 of the family's 1533-position model. Lineage: Bacteria; Bacillati; Bacillota; Bacilli; Caryophanales; Staphylococcaceae. The record is from RNAcentral.